This 93-nucleotide transfer RNA is filed under the name Kurthia zopfii. RNAcentral's name for it is "tRNA-Ser(tga)". It matches the Rfam family "tRNA". From Rfam's summary of the family: Transfer RNA (tRNA) molecules are approximately 80 nucleotides in length. Their secondary structure includes four short double-helical elements and three loops (D, anti-codon, and T loops). The record is from RNAcentral. Lineage: Bacteria; Bacillati; Bacillota; Bacilli; Caryophanales; Caryophanaceae.
GGAGGAAUACCCAAGUCUGGCUGAAGGGAUUGGUCUUGAAAACCAACAGGCGGGUCAUACCGCGCGGGGGUUCGAAUCCCUCUUCCUCCUCCA